UACGUAGGGUGCGAGCGUUGUCCGGAAUUAUUGGGCGUAAAGGGCUCGUAGGCGGUUUGUCGCGUCGGGAGUGAAAAUCCAGGGCUUAACUCUGGACUGGCUUCCGAUACGGGCAGACUAGAGGUAUGCAGGGGAGAACGGAAUUCCUGGUGUAGCGGUGAAAUGCGCAGAUAUCAGGAGGAACACCGGUGGCGAAGGCGGCAUCCUGGACCAACACUGACACUGAGGAGCGAAAGCCAGGGGAGCAAACGGG
This 253-nucleotide ribosomal RNA is filed under the name uncultured bacterium. RNAcentral's name for it is "partial 16S ribosomal RNA". It matches the Rfam family "Bacterial small subunit ribosomal RNA", at positions 524 to 776 of the family's 1533-position model. The record is from RNAcentral.